Molecule: long non-coding RNA, 750 nt
Organism: Telopea speciosissima
Lineage: Eukaryota; Viridiplantae; Streptophyta; Magnoliopsida; Proteales; Proteaceae
Exons: 3
Source: RefSeq, a predicted model, not a curated record
AAACUCCCAACGGGUAUUGAGAUGAGUGUCCAUGUCUUAUCAAGAGGGUGGGUCUUAGAUGAUUGAAUUGAAUUGUAUACUUCCAUACCAUGUUCUGUUCAGUAAGUUUUCUCAAGGCUUCAUAAUUUGAUGUUUGAGCAAUUGCAGCAACUGGUCUACAUAUCCAUCCAUGGAUGUUAGGCUUCCACACGAGCUAAAUGUUUGUCAGGACAUUUUCAAGGAGUUCUAUUCGAGAAAGCACAAGAGGCUCUUAAUGUGGAAAAAUUCACUUGGUCAUUGUAUCCUGAAGGCAGAGUUCCCAAAAGGUAAAAAGGAGCUGGAAGUGUAACUAUUUCAGAUUGUCGUUUUGAUGCUGUAUAAUGAUGCCCAAAAGCUUAGCUUCCAAGAUAUCAAAGAUUCUACAAGUAUCGAGGAUAAAGAGCUCAGAAAGACUCUGCUGUCACUUGCAUGUGGAAAAGUUUGUGUACUUCAAAAGGUGGGUUAAUGUACCCUGAUAUGUUUGUUGCUUGCAUUUCUUUCAUUAAAUAUUAAAAGGUGUAUUGGCGUAUACAGAUACCCAAAGGCGGAGAUGUGGAGGAUAAUGACUCAUUUGUGUUCAAUGAAGAAUUUAGUGCCCUACCCUACCGCAUAAAGGUAAGUUUUCUAUUAAUUUGUCUAAAACAGUAAUAGACGAUGGAGCUUGAAUGCUUAAAACUCGAUUCCAACGUCACCUUGAGGAAACAGGUAAAUGCAAUCCAAAUGAAGGAAGCU